UCGUAGCAGCACGCUUCGGGAGAGCGCCUCCUCACCUCCAGAGGGGGUUUAUGGUAUUUGCAAAGCAAGCUCCUCUCUCUUUACUCCUUGAAGGGGUGGUCUCGAAUCCGCUUUCCAAGCACAAGCUCACAUGUAAAGCAGCGAGCAUUUCAGCCUCUUGCCACAAUUCUCCCCUUCCCCUGUUUGUGCACGACGGCUUCUCCCCUUCCCUCCGCUCAUACACACAUGCACCGCCAGUGUGUGGGGGACGACGUGAGUUGCUUGAAGGGGUCUUUUUUCUCUGGCGCUUAUAUUUUUUUUCUCAGGAAUACUCAGGGUUCAACGCUGAGGCUCACCUUUUUUUGGCUGGCUUCUUUAGUCACUCCCUCUCUCCUGCCCAUUCGGGCAGCAUUGUUUUCGUCUUGUGCGCCCUCUCAAGCCUUCCUGACCUUACAGUGAUACUCGGAGGAACAACACCCCUCAGCGACUUUUCAAAGACCCCUCCUUCUCGUGUGUUUCUCGCUUCCUUUUUGUUUGGCCGUUGCGCCUUUCUGUGCACUCGGGAUAACAGCGUUUGCCCAAUGCCGCUGCUUGUCGCGAAACUGUUCGUAGCGUGCUGGGUCACGCUGAUGAGCUCCGUUGGGGUGUGGCUUCCUAUUUUCUUGGUGCGCCGCGGGCGUGAUGAGCGGUCCACCGCCUUGUUGGAAGCUGUGGCACGUGGGCGACGGCCGCACACGACGGCGUCGUUUGCUACGACGAAGCUGUGGCUGUCGCUUGCCAACUUUGUUUCUGCCGGCAUGCUGCUGACGAUAGCGUUACUUCACUUUUUUCCAGAGUCGUUGGAGGUGGAGUCGGGUGCCAGCCCCGAUUCGGUGGCGCUGUGUAGCUGGAUGCUUUUUGGCGUCCUGAUCCCUGCCGUUCUCGAGCGAUCUAUAAAAGUUCGUGGAGGCCACAGCCAUGGUGCGACGUUGGACAUGGACGAGGAGCACGCGCACGGCAGCGGAACUGGUAACUCUGUUUCGACGUCGAAGCUUCUCAUUAUAUUGAUGUGCUUCCAUGGCAUGACGGAAGGCCUCUUGCUCGGCUUUGAAAACAGUGUUGCUGCCUUGCUCAGCGCGACGGUGCCGCUUUCAGGGCACAAGUUCUGCGACGGACUCGUAAUUGGUGUCUCAGUGGCGAAAGAGAUGCACUCUGAGGUGGAGGAAGAUGCCAUGAGCGACGAGGCUGACGUGGAGGCGUGCAUCAAGGCCAACCGCUCCUCGAAUCGGUUCUGGCGGCAGCUAAUUCAGGGCCCGGUCGGCGUGUGGCUUCUCCUUACGCCAAUGACGGUGAUUUGCGUUGCCAUGUGUGCCGCAUUGUUGAACGGCGCAACACCAGCGGUGACGAGCGCUGGUUUCGACGCCGCGGCGCCGGCUGCGCUGCCGGUACCUUCGACGGCCGCCACAACCUCAUCGGUUUCGAUUUUGGCGGCAGUGCAGGCGAUAGGAAGCGGUUCAUUUGUGUAUAUUGGCCUCACUAUCUUAUGUAGCGAGGAGCUGAAGGGCAUGGCUGCCAACGCAGCGCUGCUCGCCGGUGUCGGGCUUACUUCUGCCCUGUUUUACAUAACCCGUGGGUACCACUAGGAAACCAUGCUGGUCGUGUCUUGCAUCCUUGCACCCCGUCAUCUGCUCGCCAAGCCCUCUGUCGGGUAACUGCUCCGAUUUCCAUUGCUUUAGCUCUUGCGGCGGUGUGUUAACCGUGACGUACCUUG
RNAcentral lists this unclassified non-coding RNA (1729 nucleotides) under Leishmania donovani. RNAcentral's name for it is "gene:LdHU3.33.0110(CDS-product:ZIP_Zinc_transport er_putative)". Lineage: Eukaryota; Euglenozoa; Kinetoplastea; Trypanosomatida; Trypanosomatidae. The record is from RNAcentral.